UUUUCGGACUCAGCCUGCCUGCACCCAGGUGAUUAAAAGCUUUAUUGCUCACACAAAGCCUGUUUGGUGGUCUCUUCACAUGGAUGCGCAUGAAAUUUGGUGCGGUGACUCGGAUCGGGGGACCUCCCUUGGGAGAUCAAUCCCCUGUCCUCCUGUUCUUUGCUCCGUGAGAAAGAGCCACCUACGACCUCAGGUCCUCAGACCAACCAGGCCAAGAAACAUCUCACCAAUUUCAAAUCCGCCACUCCCAGAGCCCCUGGAACUCUGGCCCAAGGCUCUCUGACUGACUCCUUCCCAGAUCUUCUCGGCUUAGCGGCUGAAGACUGACACUGCUCAAUCACCUUGGAAGCCCCCUAGACCAUCACGGACGCCGAGCUUCAGCAGGAGAAGACAAGGAGAUGGAGAGACUGUCAACCUAGAACCAGUAAUGACCAGUUCCAACUUAAUUACAGAAAGGGAGAAAAGAUCAAUCAUUUAAGUUGCUUCAUCGUCUAAAUAAAAGUGUUUUGGCUGUUGAAACAUGAACCUAGACUCCUGCCUCAACAUAUUUAAAAUGAGAACAAAGUGGCAGUAUCAUGGUGGUGGGCGUUUAGAUGCUUACAUUGUUUUCAUCUACAAAACAGGCUUUCCUUUCACACCCUAGCUCUUUGCUGGGCUGGUGGAGCUGAUUGACAGAUAUAGCCCGCUCCAAAGGAACAGCCCUUUCUCAAGGAAUGAAUGAUUUGCUCUAAGUAUUUAAAUCCUCUGCUCAAAAUCAAACAUAAAUUGAAGUAUCAAAAUAAACAAAAAUAUGGUUUGUGGUUUUGAAAGCAUUUCUUUGUGAUUUUUGCUAAAAAGAGAAAUGCCAAAAAAAUUUUUUUAAAGAUUUUGAGACAAUUAUCUGGCGCAGUGGCUCACGCCUGUAAUCCCAGCACUUUGGGAGGCUGAGGCAGGCAGAUCAUGAGGUCAGGAGAUCAAGACCAUCCUGGCCAACAUGUUGAAACCCCAUCUCUACUAAAAAUAUAAAAAUUAGCUGGGCAUGAUGGGCGCCUGUAAUCCCAGCUACUCAGGAGGCAGAGGCAAGAUAAUCACUUGAAUCCAGGAGGUGGGGGUUGCAAUGAGCCAAGAUCAUGCCACUGCACUCCAACCUGGGC
This 1133-nucleotide long non-coding RNA is filed under the name Homo sapiens (human). RNAcentral describes it as "HSALNT0209751". The record is from RNAcentral. Lineage: Eukaryota; Metazoa; Chordata; Mammalia; Primates; Hominidae.